Molecule: ribosomal RNA, 535 nt
Filed under: uncultured bacterium
Lineage: Bacteria
Description: partial 16S ribosomal RNA
Rfam family: Bacterial small subunit ribosomal RNA
Source: RNAcentral
UGGGGAAUAUUGGACAAUGGGGGCAACCCUGAUCCAGCCAUGCCGCGUGUGUGAAGAAGGCCUUUUGGUUGUAAAGCACUUUAAGCAGGGAGGAGAGGCUAAUGGUUAAUACCCAUUAGAUUAGACGUUACCUGCAGAAUAAGCACCGGCUAACUCUGUGCCAGCAGCCGCGGUAAUACAGAGGGUGCGAGCGUUAAUCGGAAUUACUGGGCGUAAAGCGAGUGUAGGUGGCUCAUUAAGUCACAUGUGAAAUCCCCGGGCUUAACCUGGGAACUGCAUGUGAUACUGGUGGUGCUAGAAUAUGUGAGAGGGAAGUAGAAUUCCAGGUGUAGCGGUGAAAUGCGUAGAGAUCUGGAGGAAUACCGAUGGCGAAGGCAGCUUCCUGGCAUAAUAUUGACACUGAGAUUCGAAAGCGUGGGUAGCAAACAGGAUUAGAUACCCUGGUAGUCCACGCCGUAAACGAUGUCUACUAGCCGUUGGGGUCCUUGAGACUUUAGUGGCGCAGUUAACGCGAUAAGUAGACCGCCUGGGGAGU